UUGUCUUCCUGGGGCCCCUGGAGCCCUUGCUCACUAUCCUGCGGUGGUUUGGGGCUCAAAACUCGCUCUAGAGGUUGCACACAGCCCGCCCCGGCCCAUGGAGGGAGAGACUGCCAGGGGCCACGGAGGGAAACGACCUACUGCCAGGCCCCCGACUGUCCAGCUACUGUUGUUCCAACAGAAGAACCAGCCACACCGGAUGAGGACUCUGGGUUCUCUCCCUGGUCACCGUGGAGUCCUUGCACAAAGACCUGCACCGACGCUCUCAGCCCGGCCCUGAAGUCCCGCCAUCGACAGUGUGUGACACCACCCUGUCCUGGAAGCUCUCACCAAGAGA
This is a non-coding RNA of Neolamprologus brichardi, 337 nucleotides long. NCBI's taxonomy places the organism in Eukaryota, Metazoa, Chordata, Actinopteri, Cichliformes, Cichlidae. The record is from RefSeq and is a predicted model, not a curated record.